AACGAACGCUGGCGGCAGGCCUAAAACAUGCAAGUCGAACGCCCUAGCAAUAGGGAGUGGCGCACGGGUGAGUAACGCGUGGGAACGUGCCCUUCAGUACGGAACAACGUCGGGAAACUGACGCUAAUACCGUAUAAUAUCUCCGGAUCAAAGAUUUAUCGCUGAAGGAUCGGCCCGCGUCUGAUUAGCUAGUUUGUGAGGUAAUGGCUCACCAAGGCUACGAUCAGUAGCUGGUCUGAGAGGAUGAUCAGCCACACUGGGACUGAGACACGGCCCAGACUCCUACGGGAGGCAGCAGUUAGGAAUAUUGGACAAUGGGCGAAAGCCUGAUCCAGCCAUGCCGCGUGUGUGAUGAAGGCCUUAGGGUUGUAAAGCACUUUCGUUGGGGAUGAUAAUGGCCGUACCCAAAGAAGAAGCCACGGCUAAAUUCGUGCCAGCCGCCGCAGUAA
Molecule: ribosomal RNA, 449 nt
Filed under: uncultured bacterium
Lineage: Bacteria
Description: partial 16S ribosomal RNA
Rfam family: Bacterial small subunit ribosomal RNA
Source: RNAcentral